This 95-nucleotide ribosomal RNA is filed under the name Kluyvera ascorbata. RNAcentral's name for it is "partial 23S ribosomal RNA". The stretch from base 1 to 83 matches the Rfam family "Bacterial large subunit ribosomal RNA", at positions 2843 to 2925 of the family's 2925-position model. Lineage: Bacteria; Pseudomonadati; Pseudomonadota; Gammaproteobacteria; Enterobacterales; Enterobacteriaceae. The record is from RNAcentral.
GACGACGACGUUGAUAGGUCGGGUGUGUAAGUGUAGCGAUACAUUGAGCUAACCGAUACUAAUGAACCGUGAGGCUUAACCUUACAACGCCGAAG